AUUGAACGCUGGCGGCAGGCCUAACACAUGCAAGUCGAGCGGAUGAAGGGAGCUUGCUCCUGGAUUCAGCAGCGGACGGGUGAGUAAUGCCUAGGAAUCUGCCUGGUAGUGGGGGAUAACGUCCGGAAACGGGCGCUAAUACAGCAUACGUCCUGAGGGAGAAAGUGGGGGAUAUUCGGACCUCACGCUAUCAGAUGAGCCUAGGUCGGAUUAGCUAGUUGGUGGGGUACAGGCCUACCAAGGGAACGAGCCGUAACUGGUCUGAGAGGAUGAUCAGGCACACUGGAUCUGAGACUCGGUCCCGACUCCUACAGUGGGCAGCAGUGGGGACUAUUAGACGAUGCGGCAGAGCCUGAUCUAGCCAUGCCGCGUGUGUGAAGAUGGUCUUCGGAUGGUUAAGCACUUUAAGUUUGGAGUAAGUGCAGUACUUUAAUACCUUGCUGUUUUGACGUUACCAACAGAAUAAGCACCGGCUAACUUCGUG
Molecule: ribosomal RNA, 484 nt
Filed under: uncultured bacterium
Lineage: Bacteria
Description: partial 16S ribosomal RNA
Rfam family: Bacterial small subunit ribosomal RNA
Source: RNAcentral